UACGUAGGUGGCAAGCGUUGUUCGGAAUUAUUGGGCGUAAAGGGCGCGUAGGCGGGCAGGCAAGUCGAAGGUGAAAUCCCACGGCUCAACCGUGGAAGUGCCCCCGAUACUGCCUGUCUCGAGGGAGAUAGGGGCGUGCGGAACUUCCGGUGGAGCGGUGAAAUGCGUAGAUAUCGGAAGGAACACCGGUGGCGAAAGCGGCGCGCUGGAUCUCUUCUGACGCUGAUGCGCGAAAGCCAGGGGAGCAAACGGG
Molecule: ribosomal RNA, 253 nt
Filed under: uncultured bacterium
Lineage: Bacteria
Description: partial 16S ribosomal RNA
Rfam family: Bacterial small subunit ribosomal RNA
Source: RNAcentral